UGAUGUUUCGCGCUCUCGCUGUUUGCAUGUUUGUGCGCUUUGGGUGUACUUUUUCGUAUGGUUGGCCAACAUCAGUUUCGAUCACUAUAAAAUGACUGGCGGAAUGUAGCUUCGAUUUCGGUUGAAGUGUUAUAGCCUCUGGUAGAUGUGGUAAUUGGGACUGAGGAUUGCAACGAAUAUCCUUUGGGCUAUCCGUCUGGCCUCUGAAAGUUGCUUGGGUGCUGAAAGCUUGCUUAUGGUUAUCUAAGUUAACGGUCAAUAGGUUAGAACGUGAUUACAUUCGUUAAGGAUGUUGACGUAA
This 301-nucleotide ribosomal RNA is filed under the name uncultured fungus. Its description in RNAcentral is "LSU rRNA". The record is from RNAcentral. Lineage: Eukaryota; Fungi.